This 468-nucleotide ribosomal RNA is filed under the name uncultured bacterium. RNAcentral's name for it is "partial 16S ribosomal RNA". It matches the Rfam family "Bacterial small subunit ribosomal RNA", at positions 28 to 507 of the family's 1533-position model. The record is from RNAcentral.
GACGAACGCUGGCGGCGUGCCUAACACAUGCAAGUCGAACGGAAAGGCCCUGCUUUUGUGGGGUGCUCGAGUGGCGAACAGGUGAGUAACACGUGAGUAACCUGCCCUUGACUUUGGGAUAACUUCAGGAAACAGGGGCUAAUAUCGGAUAGGAGCUCCUGCUGCAUGGUGGUGGUUGGAAAGAUUCGGCGGUAGGGGCUGGACUCGCGGGUUAUCGGCUUGAUGGGGUGGUAGUUGCUUACCAAGGGUUUGACGGAUAGGCCGCCUGAGAGGGUGACCGGCCACCAGGGGACUACGGGACGGACCAGACGGCUACGGGCGGCAGCAGUGGGGAAUAUUGCGGAAUGGGGCGAAGCCUGAUGCAGCGACGCCGCGUGCGGGAUGACGGCCUUCGGGGUGUAAACAGAUUUCGCCUGUGACGAAGAGUUAGUGACGGUAAUGGGUAAAGAAGCAACGGCUAACUACGUG